Molecule: ribosomal RNA, 2696 nt
Filed under: Triticum aestivum (bread wheat)
Lineage: Eukaryota; Viridiplantae; Streptophyta; Magnoliopsida; Poales; Poaceae
Description: partial small subunit ribosomal RNA
Source: RNAcentral
GGGCGUCAGUUUUCUUAUUUUCUUUUUUGGCGACGGGCGUGCUGGAGAGUGGGGGACGAGGAGCUGGAGAGCGAGAGACGAGGAGGAUGGCGUGGCAAGCGGUGGGGUGUUGGCGAGCGGCGAAGCGGCGGAAGGCGUCGGCGCGGGGAAGCGGCAGCGGGUGGAUGACGGGAAGAGAGGUGCGUGAAAAGGUGGGAGUGCGUCGGCGGCGGUCGCGGAACACGGGGUUGCGGCGAUAGCGGUAGUGGAGGAGGGGUACCAGGCGCUCGAUCUGCGCGACGGCCCUUCUUAGGUGGUAGAUGCCGGAACGCCGCGAGCGGCCCCUGUGGCGGCGGCGGCGGAGAUAGGAAAGGCCUACGGAGACAGAGGAGAGAUGUCGCCGGAGGAGUAGAGAAGUGCCGACGAGGUCUCCAGCGGGGGAGCUCGUAGCGCAGGAGAAGAGGUGGUGGUGGAGCGGCGGCGGAGGAGGGAAGCCAAGAGAGGAGCUUCGAGGUAGUUCACCAGUGACGGCGGACGACGGAGAAGAGAGGACGUCCUGCUGCGGAGGGGUAGGUGGUAGACGGCGGCGACUUGACCCACCGUCAACGCCGGUACCCCCUCAUCCCCACCGUACCAGAAGUACCAGCAAUACAUGUUCUUCUGCUCCUGCUGUCACCCCCCUUGCUCGUCGCUCCGGCCUCGAAGUGAUACCUAAACUCCUACGUUGAGCGACCGGUGGUAGUGGCAGGCGUUAGACCCGACGGGUAAACGCAGAGCGGUAGAAGGAAGGGUUAUGAAUUGAAUCAAGAAACUGUCAGAUUAAAGUUAAAACAGUUAAAUACCGAAAAGAUCCGUUACUACACUCUGUCUUUUCUUCUCCUUCUGCAACCACUUCCUCUCCCGUCGUGUUUACAUGUGGCGACACCGGUCCAAUAAGGUAUGCUGUGUCGGUGUCCACUACAUGUACUUACUGCCGUCUACCAACUCCUAACUCCCUUACAUCUACGCUGAUCGCUCGUGAAUGAGACUCCACGAAAGUCUACUACCAAAUUAUUCUGACAAACCUGUUUUAAGACUAAAAAGUUGUGAACAAGGUACACGCUUAUAAGACCCUCGUGGUUGAGGUUGACGACUGUUCCACUUCGAAUACUAGUCAUGUUGAAACAAACUGUAAACCGACCCGAUUUUUUUUAUAGUUACCCUCGAAACCUGCCGGGCUAACGUAAUCACGGACACCAACACUUGCAGGCGGCAGACGGCGUCGAAACAGUUAGCAGGAAGAGUCCACAGUCGCUAGAAUCGGCACUCCUCGCUCGCUGUGUGGCAAGGGCAGCUGCGGCAGCAGGCAGCCGUAGGCCAUAACGACAUACGAUAUGUACAUGACUAACACUAACCGCAGGGUAGGCUGUGGUCUUGCUCUUGGGGAAGUUAAAUUACACAAUCAGUAUCUAUACCUAUAACAACUGGUAUUUUUUCUUGGAUAGUUGUUCUCGGGCUUCCAGUACAGCAACCUUCUCUGAUUUUGGAGUCGUUCAAGAUAUGUCGGAUGUCUACGCGUCUAUCUUUAUCGGUUAAAUGCAGUAUGGUUUGGUUCUUCUCGUUUAUGUUUAUAAUGUGGUGUUCAUAAUUUAGUUGGUACAGGAAUGGACUUUUUUGAUACAACCACGUGUAGUUACUACGUAAUAAUAGUUUACGUCUCUACUCCACGGAAUCCGUACUACUACACAAAAACGUACUACUACAUUAUUUACGUAUAUAUAUGACAUAUUCACGGGUCCUCGUAGACGUUCUAUCUCACCCACCUUACCAUGUAUAACGUUCGUGCAAACACAGAAGGGACGAUUUCUUGCUACUCCAUCUGGCCCGUUGUGUAGCGGUGUAACAUUUUGCUCACUUACGAAAAAACCUCGUACUGUACCAUAAGGAAGGUCAAUUGUAGUCUUUUACGGUGACCAUAGAUAGUCAUUAGUUACGCUUCUUUGCUCUCUAUGUCCAUGACCUGAGCGAACCUCAACCUUACUCGGCUUCACUGGAGUGAUUCUACAAUGUUCCUGAACUGGUCGUAGAUUUUUAGCGUACGUUAUACGGUCUCAAAUUCUCUCCACUAUCCACCGUCCUGGAGCUAUAAUGCUUAACCUUUCAGCAUCUUGUCGAGGUUCUCGGUUAGGUUUGUCUGCCCUCCUGUACUUUCUUAAAGCUGCUUUCUAUUAAACUAAUUCGCGUUGACCUGUACUAGAUGAUCCACAUCAAAGACACUAGCCCUACUUUGAUAGUUCGUAGAAAAGAAACUAACGGGCUACCGCUCCCACAACACCGCGAGCCACGUUUAACGGAAAUUGUAAUGAGGAAGUUUAAACCAGUCCAAAAUAAGGCCCGAUGACGCGAUUAGGCAUGCACCAGUAAUGAGUGAGGCUGCCUCCGGUCCCGCGCAAACCAAUGACCUAGACAGGCCACCCUCUACCAUCGCGCCCUAUAGAAGUUGACCAAACCUACUGCCAGUACAUUAUCCUAUCCGCGAAUCAAAUGGAUAGAGAGAAAUAAUACGGUCGGCCAACACCGAAAACUCGGAACAAAAUGAAACGAUCGAGAAACACUCGAUCGUAGGAAAUAACGUCGUGAAACGUUCUGUAACAACUUGAUAAAAUAAAUAAAUAUUUACACCGGCAUACGUAGCAAGACUACGUCUCCGUCCCCUUAGGGGGGAAAAGCCUUUUUUU